Molecule: transfer RNA, 72 nt
Filed under: Bos taurus (domestic cattle)
Lineage: Eukaryota; Metazoa; Chordata; Mammalia; Artiodactyla; Bovidae
Also listed under: 4 other names
Rfam family: tRNA
About the family: Transfer RNA (tRNA) molecules are approximately 80 nucleotides in length.
Source: Rfam by way of RNAcentral
UCCUUGGUGGCUCAGACAGUAAAGUGUCUGCCUGUAAUGCAGGAGCCCUGGGUUCGACCUCCAGGUAGGGAA